UAUCGGGCCCAGUGGCAGAGCCAUAUUCAAUCAAUCGAUACUCUUUAGGCGGAAUUGCUAGAUAAUAUUUUUUAUUUUAUAUAUAUUUAUUAUGCGUUUGACUCUCCCUAACUUUUCUGUAUAUUUAAUUUUUUAUAUUUUAACACUCCUCUAUGAAAACUUUGGCUACGCUCCUGAUUGAGCCCAUACCUAUUGUACCCCAAAAGGUCCAUUGUAGGUUGGGAACCAAGACCAUAAGUGGUAGUGCGGUACUGGUCCAAACUUCCAACAACUUAGACCAUACAUUUGUGAUCUCCUUUUCUUGUAGUAUUAAUUGCUGUUUGAACCAAAUAUUGAAGCUUUUACUCCCCCGAGUAAAAAUGGCUGAGAACUACGCAAUAGGCAUAACUGAAAACCUAUAAAUAGUAACUUCUGCAGAAGUUCACAAGUGGUCUCCAAUGGCUAAACUGAAGACUCUUUAUCUCUUCUCUUACAAUUCUCUUCAGUUUCUUGGAUGGUAAAUUUCUUCCCUCCAACCCCCCC
RNAcentral lists this long non-coding RNA (522 nucleotides) under Nicotiana benthamiana. Its description in RNAcentral is "long non-coding RNA (NBEN_LNC002892)". Lineage: Eukaryota; Viridiplantae; Streptophyta; Magnoliopsida; Solanales; Solanaceae. The record is from RNAcentral.